ACUGAGAUAGCAUAAAAAAUGUAAGAGACUUCGGGCCUCUAGAUAUGGUUACAAACCAUUCCCGGUU
This 67-nucleotide transfer RNA is filed under the name Euapta godeffroyi. RNAcentral's name for it is "tRNA-Arg". The record is from RNAcentral. Lineage: Eukaryota; Metazoa; Echinodermata; Holothuroidea; Apodida; Synaptidae.